Syngnathoides biaculeatus (alligator pipefish) is the source of this 5156-nucleotide long non-coding RNA. RefSeq lists it as uncharacterized. The record is from RefSeq and is a predicted model, not a curated record. The transcript is spliced from 4 exons. NCBI's taxonomy places the organism in Eukaryota, Metazoa, Chordata, Actinopteri, Syngnathiformes, Syngnathidae.
AGAGCUGGUCAUUAAGAACCUAAUAAUUCGAUUCAAUUUCAAAUCUUAAGGCUGUGAUUUGACUCAAUUGAGUCUUAUUGUUGCGAUUCAAUUCGAUUAAUUUAAAUGAUCCAAUAUCGAUUCAGUAAGGAGUAAAAAUCCACUUAAUUGAGUAGAUUUUGACAAUUUAAAAACUUUUUUUUUUUUGCUGGAAUGUAAAUAUAUAGUACGUCACAUCAUAUUUUUUAAACAACUCAAAAUUAACUUGCACAUAACUUGUUUGUAUUGAUGCAAUACAAAAGUAAAAAAAAAUACGGCAGUUCAUAAAUACUAAAAAGGUAAAGUGCAUGUAACCUUUUUUUGUAUUUUCUCUUAAAUUGUAAUGAAAAAAAUGGACAUAUGUUUACAAGGAGUGCAAAUGUUAAAACAUGACAGCGCUCUCUUGAGUAAUGUGCAUUAAACAAUAUUUUACUUUUUUAUUUUUUAAAUUAGGGUUACAAGUGUUAUUUGUACGGUGUUUAAAACUUAAUUAAGUAGCAUGUUUCCAGCAUUGUGAGAGAAGCUAGUACUGGUACUUUCUUUGUUAAACCUUUAUCAAACAUUCAUUAAUUGCAUUUGUUUGGUAUUUUUCUCCCUCUGUGUGGCUUCUUUGUUGGGGGCUCUAGUUUGCAGAACCCGUCACAUAUUUCUGCUCGUUAGAAAUGAAAUUGAAUAUGAUAGUUACAUACGUAGGGCUCAGUCGUUCUUUGUCGAAUGCUUUCAGAACCGCUCUUAAGUUGCGUGUACAGUUAAGACUAUAACUUCUGGCAGAUUUUUGUGUUAGAAUCGCCUAUCGUCCUCAGAGUAUCUGUUAAUUUCUGUGUUCUGGAUUUACAGGGGAAUCCACAAUGACCCCAUUUUAAAAGUAGAAGUCACUUGCUUCAGGGUGCUGCUGAGCCACUAUUUGCUCAACUAGCUAUUGUUUGGCUUUCGUCCAUACAACACGAACCAUAAGCAAAGCACCCCUCAGUGGCCAGGAGGUGAAUCGAUUCAGCUGAUUUGCGCAUUUUGAUAUUGAAUUGCAAAAUAUAAAAAUGCAAUGCAUUGAUUUAUUUGAAGUUUUUUUUUUUACCCACCCUUAGUUUAAAUCAAAAGAUGAGACAUUUAUCAAAAUACAGCUGUGCACUUGUUGUGAGUACUGUACUUACAAAGUUGGAAAAGCCACCCUGUUAUUCACAAGCCACGAGGUAGACGUUUACAGCUUUCUGCAGCAGUGUACAUCAAGUGGAGCUUCUUUCGUCAAAGGCGAUAGAGUGGUCAAAGUGACGAAUUUGCAAGGUUUUUGGUUCAACACCUUCUGUUGGCAUGCCAGAAUGUUUUUUUUGCGCUAGUUAUUGUCCAAACAUGGAAGAUUAAGGAAGAUGUGAUGCUCCACCCAAAAAGAAAAGCUAAGCUUGGCAGUGACAUGAUGCCCCACUCUCCAGCAAUCCCUGCAUUCUAUCACCUGGAGAAGGAGCUGACCAAGAAGACAGUCCUUAAGGAAAUUGCAAAGCUCAACACGCACCAUCAGACCUUUUCGUUAGAGGCAUUCCGCAGUGCGAUUCUUAGAUUCCCACUUAUAGCCAUAAAUUGGAAUGAAGUGCAGUGUAUGCAGAUGACUUGCAUGUCUUCCCUCCCUGUCUGGAAACAUGCUACAUAUUCGAAGCAUGACACAGGAUGGGAUUACAAAUGUUUUUCUUUGAAGAAAGCCCCAGCACCACCUCACCAAACGUCUGGAGCCAAGAUACCUUUAAUGACUGAAAAUGUUGAGCGGGGUAUUUAACAAUUUUUUUUGUCGUUAAAUAAAAAUUUCAUUGAAUGGUCAUUAUCACUGUGUAUGUAGUUAACGCUGUUCUUUCCCCCAAAGAGCUAAGGGGCAAUCAUCUUCUUGGGGUAGAAUAAUAGUUGAAAAGUGCCACAAGUUGGUUGGCUCCAUGCCACAUAGAUGGGAAGCUGAAAAAAAAAAAAACAAAAAAAAAACUGGUCAUACAACUAUAUGUUGGUUUACUGAUUCAAAGGAGGUGGCAUGGUGGAAGCAGCUGUCGAGCAUUGGCCUCAAAGUUCUGAGGACCGAGGUUCAAAUCCUGACCCCCCGGCUGUGUGGAGUUUUCAUGUUCUCCCCGUGCUUGUGUGGGUUUUCUCCGGGCACUAAUGUUUCAUCCCACUUCCCAAAAACAUGCAAUAAUUGGAGACUCUAAAUUGCGCAGAGAUGUGAUUGUGACCGUUGUCUAUCUCCAUAUGCCCUGUGAUUGACUGGCAACCAAUUCAGUGUACUCCGCCUCCUGCCCAAUGGUAGCUGGAAUGGGCUCUCGCGACUGUCUUGAUGAUAAGCAGCUCAGAAGAUGGAUGAAUGAUUCAAAGGAUUGGUAAACCUCAGAAACAAAAGUUAGCACAAAAUGUUUUUGAGUUUAAGUUAACGGCAGACUUUUAAUGCACCCCUUUCAAUAAAUUGCCAAUUGCACAGCCUAAAGAGUGGGUAUGUCACGAAUGCUGCUGCUUGUUGAUUUUCUGAGACUACUGCACAUACUGGUAACAAUUACAAAUAUAGUGACAACGUGGAUUAAAGUGGUUAGUCACAUUGUACUGUUAUUAUUUUGAAUACAACUGUGGGUUGUACCUGUAUCCAUACGGUGCUGUGAAGAAGUACAGUAUUCACUCCCCUUCUGAUUUGUUUUCUUUCUGAAUCACACACGGGUUUCAAAUAAUCAAACCAAUUUUAACAGCUCUCAGAACUUGAGGAAAUGGAAAAGGCAGUUUUCAAAUGACAAUUCAAUUUAUUAAGGCACACACAAAAAAAAAAACUUCUGACCCACUUUGUGAAAUGCAAAUGCCCCCUAGUUUUAAAUUAUAAAGUCACUGUGACUAACCACAAAUUUGGGAAAGGUAAGUCUAGAAAAGGAUAAAAAGUCAUUUCCAAGGUUUUGGGGCUCCUGUGAACCACUGUCAGAGCAAUUAUCCAUAAUUGGGAACAGUGGCAAACAUUCGCUGUAGUGGACGACCAACUAAAAUUACAAGAGUGUGAUGACGACUCGUCCAAAAGGUCAUGAAAGAACCUUGAACAACAUCGAAAGCCCUGCAGGCCUUGCCAGGCUCAGUUAAGGUCAGUGUUUAUGACUACCAUAAAAAAAUUGGCCAAAAAUGGCCUCCAUGGGAAAGUUCCCUGGCAAAAAAAACUGCUGUCAGCAAAAAAUACAAAGGCUCAUCUCACAUUUGCCAAAACAUCUUGAUGAUCCUCAAGUCUUGGAGAAUCAUUCUGAUUGACGAGUCAAAAAUUGAACUUUUCGGAAGGUGUGUAUCCAGUUAGAGCUGGAGAAAAAAUGGCAUAGCAUUUGAUAAAAAAAGAACAUUAUGCCAACAGUGAAGCAUGGUGGGGUUACUUUGCUGCCUCAGGACCAGGACAACUUGCUGUAAUUGAUGGAACAAUGAAUUCUGCUGUGUAUCAGAAAAUCCUGAAGGAGAAUGACCAUUAGUUGGUGUCAUCAAACUCAAGCACUCUUUGAUUAUGCAGCAGGACAACCAUCCAAAACACACCAACAAAUCCACAUAUUCAUAGCUAAAAAAAAAAAAAGAAAAAAACUAAAUGCAUGUUUUGGAGUGCCAAGUCAAAGUCUGGAUUUAAGUCCAAUUGAGAGGACAUGCGGUGUGACCUUAAACGGGCAGUUCAUGCUAGAAAACCCUCCAAAAACUCAUUGCCAAUUAUCACAAAGCCUUGAUUUCAGUUUUUGCUGCCAAGAGUUGCAUAGCCCUUUAUUAGAUUCAAGGGGCAAUAACUUUUUCACAGAUGGUCAGAAAAUUUUGGAAUUUUUUUUAUGCCUUAAUUCAAUUACAUAUUUGAAAACUGCAUUUUCUAUUUCCUUGGGUUGUCACUGAGUCAUGUUAAAAUUGGUUUGAUGAUUUGAAACCUUUGUGUGUGAUAGAUAUGAAAAAGAAACAAAUACUUUUUCAUGAGACUGUAUAUUCACGCAGGCUGCCAGUUGAAAUUUCAAACACACACCAAUCUCGGCAGUCUAAAGCAAGGGUGCCCAGACUUUUUUUGAUGAUGCUCCCAAUGUUUUGUUAUUAAUGUUAUGUGAUAUACUGUAUAUAAAUAUAUAUGUAUAUUUAAAAUACAGAAUUUUCUUUUCAUGCACUGUAUACUCUGGGCUUUCAUCCUGGUUAAGGCUGUGCCAAGGUGGAAUGUUAAACUUACACACCAUCUCAUCCUACACUUUCUUCUAUGGCUUCAGACCAGACCUUUCCCACUCGGAAAAGAGAAAAUCUUGUCCAGUUUAACCACUUUUUCUUCGAUUAUUCACAUACUCUGACAGUCAUUGCAUCUUAAAACAACAGCAUUUAUUUUUUAACUUUCGCUGUUAAUAUCGAAAGUAAACUUCAGCAGCAUGUCUAACUCGUCUUUGCUCUACGUGUCCCAGACUGUGUUGCGAACUAAAGCAGCGUUGGAGGACGCUGUCAUUAUAAAACACAUUGAUGGGCUGCGUAAGUACUGUAAUAUUUGUAAUUAUGAGUGUAUGUCGGCGUAAGGUAAACUAGGAAAAAGAAAGUGUGGUGGAGCAGCGGUGUGGCUGUGGAGUUUUUGACCAACGUAUUCAAUAGAAUAGCUCCAGGGAGAAGACAUAGUGAGGGUGGAUGACUUCAAAUACUUGGGGUCAACAUUACAGGGCAAUAGAGACUGUGGUAAAGAAUUGAAGAAAUGGGUCCAAGCGGGGUGGAAAAGUUGGCGGAAGGUGUCAGGUGUUCUAUGUGACGGAAGAGUAUCCGCUAGGAUGAAGGGCAAAGUUUAUAAAACAGUGGUGAGGCUGGCCAUGAUGUAUGGAUUAGAGACGGUGGCACUAAAGAAACAACAGGAAGCAGAACUGGAGGUAGCAGAAAUGAAGAUGCUGAGGUUCUCACUUGGAGUGAGCAGGUUGGAUAGGAUUAGAAAUGAGCUCAUUAGAGGAACAGCCAAAGUUUGAGGUUUUGGAGACAAGGUUAGAGAGAGCAGACUUGGAUGGUUUGGACAUGUUCAGAGACGAGAGAGUGAGUAUAUAGUAGGUAGUAGGGUGCUGAGGAUGGAGCUGCUAGGCAAAAGAUAGAGAGGAAGACCAAAGAAAAGGUUGGUGGAUCUUGUGAGGAAGGACAUGAGGACACUGGGUGUUAUAGAGAGGAGAUUGCACGAGAUA